CCUACGGGGGGCAGCAGUAGGGAAUUUUCGUCAAUGGGCGCAAGCCUGAACGAGCGAUGCCGCGUGAGUGAAGAAGGCCUUCGGGUCGUAAAGCUCUGUUGCGGGGGAAAAAAGGCCGCAUCAGGAAAUGGGUGCUGACCGAUGGUGCCCCGCCAGAAAGCCACGGCUAACUACGUGCCAGCAGCCGCGGUAAUACGUAGGUGGCGAGCGUUAUCCGGAAUUAUUGGGCGUAAAGGGUGCGCAGGCGGUCCUGCAAGUCUGGAGUGAAAGGCAUGAGCUUAACUCAUGCAUGGCUUUGGAAACUGGAGGACUGGAGAGCAGGAGAGGGCGGUGGAACUCCAUGUGUAGCGGUGAAAUGCGUAGAUAUAUGGAAGAACACCAGUGGCGAAGGCGGCCGCCUGGCCUGUUGCUGACGCUGAGGCACGAAAGCGUGGGGAGCAAAUAGGAUUAGAUACCCUUGUAGUC
RNAcentral lists this ribosomal RNA (465 nucleotides) under uncultured bacterium. RNAcentral describes it as "partial 16S ribosomal RNA". It matches the Rfam family "Bacterial small subunit ribosomal RNA", at positions 338 to 795 of the family's 1533-position model. The record is from RNAcentral.